RNAcentral lists this ribosomal RNA (238 nucleotides) under uncultured bacterium. RNAcentral's name for it is "partial 16S ribosomal RNA". It matches the Rfam family "Bacterial small subunit ribosomal RNA", at positions 524 to 762 of the family's 1533-position model. The record is from RNAcentral.
UACGGAGGGGGUUAGCGUUGUUCGGAAUUACUGGGCGUAAAGCGCGCGUAGGCGGACAUUUAAGUCAGAGGUGAAAUCCCAGGGCUCAACCUGGAACUGCCUUUGAUACUGGGUGUCUUGAGUUCGAGAGAGGUGAGUGGAAUUCCGAGUGUAGAGGUGAAAUUCGUAGAUAUUCGGAGGAACACCAGUGGCGAAGGCGGCUCACUGGCUCGAUACUGACGCUGAGGUGCGAAAGUGU